This is a long non-coding RNA of Gasterosteus aculeatus aculeatus (three-spined stickleback), 481 nucleotides long. NCBI's taxonomy places the organism in Eukaryota, Metazoa, Chordata, Actinopteri, Perciformes, Gasterosteidae. The record is from Ensembl.
AGACACGUUCUCCCAGCUCACGAGGAAGCACGGCAUCAAGAUCGCCGCGGGCUUCCCGUGCAGCGUGGAGGACAUCGGGCUGUGGGGGAGAAGGUCGGGCACGGCGGCGUUAAGUCGGCCUCGCGCAUGAACGGCGCCGUGGUCAUCUUCCUGGACCAGGUGGAGAAGGUGAACCGAGUCGUGGAGGCGCCUCACGAAACUCACAGCGACAGCACCAACGAGGCCGACUGGAGGAGGGAAGUCCUGCUGAGCCACAACACCAACCUCAGUGGAGGAGUGGGCUUCCUCUUCUCCAGGUCCUUUAAUCCACUGUCACUGGAGGUCAAACACAUCAUCGAGGGGAGGUUGUUCUUAGUCAAGCUGGUGGACGCAGUGGGGCCGACGCUGAGCGACGCCCCGGCCCUGGGCUCUCUGCUGGGGCUGCACUCCGUCCGGAUGGCGAGGAGGCUCCUGGAGCUGUGGAACCAGAGGCUGACUGAGG